UACGUAGGGCGCAAGCGUUGUCCGGAAUUAUUGGGCGUAAAGAGCUCGUAGGCGGUUUGUCGCGUCUGCUGUGAAAACCCGAGGCUCAACCUCGGGCCUGCAGUGGGUACGGGCAGACUAGAGUGCGGUAGGGGAGAUUGGAAUUCCUGGUGUAGCGGUGGAAUGCGCAGAUAUCAGGAGGAACACCGAUGGCGAAGGCAGAUCUCUGGGCCGUAACUGACGCUGAGGAGCGAAAGCGUGGGGAGCGAACAGG
Molecule: ribosomal RNA, 253 nt
Filed under: uncultured bacterium
Lineage: Bacteria
Description: partial 16S ribosomal RNA
Rfam family: Bacterial small subunit ribosomal RNA
Source: RNAcentral